Molecule: ribosomal RNA, 466 nt
Filed under: uncultured bacterium
Lineage: Bacteria
Description: partial 16S ribosomal RNA
Rfam family: Bacterial small subunit ribosomal RNA
Source: RNAcentral
GACGAACGCUGGCGGCGUGCUUAACACAUGCAAGUCGAACGGAAAGGCCCUGCUUGCAGGGUACUCGAGUGGCGAACGGGUGAGUAACACGUGGGUGAUCUGCCCUGCACUUCGGGAUAAGCUUGGGAAACUGGGUCUAAUACCGGAUAGGAACCAUCUUUAGUGUGGUGGUUGGAAAGUUUUUUCGGUGUAGGAUGAGCUCGCGGCCUAUCAGCUUGUUGGUGGGGUAAUGGCCUACCAAGGCGGCGACGGGUAGCCGGCCUGCGAGGGUGUACGGCCACAUUGGGACUGAGAUACGGCCCAGACUCCUACGGGAGGCAGCAGUGGGGAAUAUUGCACAAUGGGCGCAAGCCUGAUGCAGCGACGCCGCGUGGGGGAUGAAGGCCUUCGGGUUGUAAACUCCUAUCGCUAGGGACGAAGCUUUGUUGUGACGGUACCUAGAUAAGAAGCACCGGCUAACUACGUG